GAUGAACGCUAGCUACAGGCUUAACACAUGCAAGUCGAGGGGCAGCAUGAAUAUUGGCUUGCCGAUAUUUGAUGGCGACCGGCGCACGGGUGAGUAACACUUAUCCAACCUUCCGGUUACUCGGGGAUAGGCUUUCGAAAGAAAGAUUAAUACCCGAUGUUGUGUAUCUUUCUCCUGAAAGAUACGCCAAAGGAUUCCGGUAACCGAUGGGGAUGCGUUCCAUUAGGCAGUUGGCGGGGUAACGGCCCACCAAACCUUCGAUGGAUAGGGGUUCUGAGAGGAAGGUCCCCCACAUUGGAACUGAGACACGGUCCAAACUCCUACGGGAGGCAGCAGUGAGGAAUAUUGGUCAAUGGACGGAAGUCUGAACCAGCCAAGUAGCGUGAAGGAUGACUGCCCUCUGGGUUGUAAACUUCUUUUAUACGGGAAUAACAUGAGGUACGCGUACCUUAUUGCAUGUACCGUUAUGAAUAAGCAUCGGCUAACUCCGUGCCAGCAGCCGCGGUAAUACGGAGGAUGCGAGCGUUAUCCGGAUUUAUUGGGUUUAAAGGGAGCGUAGGUGGGAUAUUAAGUCAGCUGUGAAAGUUUGGGGCUCAACCUUAAAAUUGCAGUUGAUACUGGUUUCCUUGAGUACAGUACAGGUGGGCGGAAUUCGUGGUGUAGCGGUGAAAUGCUUAGAUAUCACGAAGAACUCCGAUCGCGAAGGCAGCUCACCGGGCCGGAACUGACACUGAUGCUCGAAAGUGCGGGUAUCAAACAGGAUUAGAUACCCUGGUAGUCCGCACAGUAAACGAUGAAUACUCGCUGUUUGCGAUACACUGUAAGCGGCCAAGCGAAAGCGUUAAGUAUUCCACCUGGGGAGUACGCCGGCAACGGUGAAACUCAAAGGAAUUGACGGGGGCCCGCACAAGCGGAGGAACAUGUGGUUUAAUUCGAUGAUACGCGAGGAACCUUACCCGGGCUUAAAUUGCGCUGGCUUUUACCGGAAACGGUAUUUUCUUCGGACCAGCGUGAAGGUGCUGCAUGGUUGUCGUCAGCUCGUGCCGUGAGGUGUCGGCUUAAGUGCCAUAACGAGCGCAACCCUUAUCUUUAGUUACUAACAGUUUUGCUGAGGACUCUAAAGAGACUGCCGUCGUAAGAUGCGAGGAAGGUGGGGAUGACGUCAAAUCAGCACGGCCCUUACGUCCGGGGCUACACACGUGUUACAAUGGGGAGCACAGCAGGUUGCUACACGGCGACGUGAUGCCAAUCCGUAAAACUCCUCUCAGUUCGGAUCGAAGUCUGCAACCCGACUUCGUGAAGCUGGAUUCGCUAGUAAUCGCGCAUCAGCCACGGCGCGGUGAAUACGUUCCCGGGCCU
This 1359-nucleotide ribosomal RNA is filed under the name uncultured bacterium. RNAcentral's name for it is "bacterial SSU rRNA". It matches the Rfam family "Bacterial small subunit ribosomal RNA", at positions 28 to 1381 of the family's 1533-position model. The record is from RNAcentral.